GACGAACGCUGGCGGCGUGCCUAACACAUGCAAGUCGAACGGGGCUAGGAAAGCUUGCUUUCCGAUGCCUAGUGGCGGACGGGUGAGUAACGCGUGAGUAACCUGCCUUUCAGAGGGGAAUAACGUUCUGAAAAGAACGCUAAUACCGCAUAACGUACAGCUUUCGCAUGGAAGCAGUACCAAAGGAGCAAUCCGCUGAGAGAUGGACUCGCGUCCGAUUAGCUAGUUGGUGGGGUAAAGGCCUACCAAGGCGACGAUCGGUAGCCGGACUGAGAGGUUGAACGGCCACAUUGGGACUGGGACACGGCCCAGACUCCUACGGGAGGCAGCAGUGGGGGAUAUUGCACAAUGGGGGGAACCCUGAUGCAGCAACGCCGCGUGUGGGAAGAAGGUUUUCGGAUUGUAAACCACUGUUCUUGGUGAAGAUAAUGACGGUAACCAAGGAGAAAGCUCCGGCUAACUACGUGCCAGCAGCCGCGGUAAUACGUAGGGAGCAAGCGUUGUCCGGAUUUACUGGGUGUAAAGGGUGCGUAGGCGGCUAGGCAAGUCAGACGUGAAAACCAUGGGCUCAACCUGUGGACUGCGUUUGAAACUGUUUAGCUUGAGUGAAGUAGAGGUAGGCGGAAUUCCCGGUGUAGCGGUGAAAUGCGUAGAGAUCGGGAGGAACACCAGUGGCGAAGGCGGCCUACUGGGCUUUAACUGACGCUGAGGCACGAAAGCAUGGGUAGCAAACAGG
Molecule: ribosomal RNA, 736 nt
Filed under: uncultured bacterium
Lineage: Bacteria
Description: bacterial SSU rRNA
Rfam family: Bacterial small subunit ribosomal RNA
Source: RNAcentral